This 264-nucleotide long non-coding RNA is filed under the name Sinocyclocheilus anshuiensis. RNAcentral's name for it is "lncRNA (ENSSANG00000008409.1)". Lineage: Eukaryota; Metazoa; Chordata; Actinopteri; Cypriniformes; Cyprinidae. The record is from RNAcentral.
UGUGCCUCCAAUUGCAGGGCGGUGCUCUCCCCAACCCUUGGGGUGUCAUGGUCUACUCUGCAAGCACACAGCAGACAAAUUCGGGAAAAUGUGUCAUCAAGUUCAAGUUUUCAUCUAGUGUGGAAGGAGCUUCUUGCAGCACGGCACUGAAUGUGAGCCACCGGGAAACAUCGCCACCUAAGAAGUUACUUUCAGCAUCCCAAGGUGAGUCAGGGUUUAUUUUGUUUCUCUGCUUGGAUGUGAGACCUUUCAUUUGCGCCUUGU